This 254-nucleotide ribosomal RNA is filed under the name uncultured bacterium. RNAcentral's name for it is "partial 16S ribosomal RNA". It matches the Rfam family "Bacterial small subunit ribosomal RNA", at positions 524 to 776 of the family's 1533-position model. The record is from RNAcentral.
UACGGGGGGAGCAAGCGUUGUUCGGAUUUACUGGGCGUAAAGGGCGCGUAGGCGGUCGUGACAAGUCACUUGUGAAAUCUCCGGGCUUAACUCGGAACGGUCAAGUGAUACUGUCGGACUAGAGUACAGAAGGGGCAACUGGAAUUCUCGGUGUAGCGGUGAAAUGCGUAGAUAUGCGGAGGAACACCGAUGGCGAAGGCAAUCCCCUGGACCCGUACUGACGCUCAUGCACGAAAGCGUGGGGAGCAAACAGG